This 497-nucleotide ribosomal RNA is filed under the name uncultured bacterium. Its description in RNAcentral is "partial 16S ribosomal RNA". It matches the Rfam family "Bacterial small subunit ribosomal RNA", at positions 28 to 507 of the family's 1533-position model. The record is from RNAcentral.
GAUGAACGCUGGCGGCGUGCCUAAUACAUGCAAGUCGAGCGAACAGACGAGGAGCUUGCUCCUCUGACGUUAGCGGCGGACGGGUGAGUAACACGUGGAUAACCUACCUAUAAGACUGGGAUAACUUCGGGAAACCGGAGCUAAUACCGGAUAAUAUAUUGAACCGCAUGGUUCAAUAGUGAAAGACGGUUUUGCUGUCACUUAUAGAUGGAUCCGCGCCGCAUUAGCUAGUUGGUAAGGUAACGGCUUACCAAGGCAACGAUGCGUAGCCGACCUGAGAGGGUGAUCGGCCACACUGGAACUGAGACACGGUCCAGACUCCUACGGGAGGCAGCAGUAGGGAAUCUUCCGCAAUGGGCGAAAGCCUGACGGAGCAACGCCGCGUGAAUGAUGAAGGUCUUCGGAUCGUAAAACUCUGUUAUUAGGGAAGAACAAAUGUGUAAGUAACUAUGCACGUCUUGACGGUACCUAAUCAGAAGGCCACGGCUAACUACGUG